CAAAGCAGCCGGCCUGCAGAGAGACCAGAGAACAACGCUCAGAUCCCACCAGCGGAACCUUGCUAUGCUACCGUGAGCUUCUCCAGAAACCAGGAGGAUCUUCUCUACUCCAACGUCAGUCCAACUCGCCCCCCCAGACGCAAGGAGGAGGUGGAGGAAGUUCUGUACUCACGUGUCAACUUUGUGCGAACGGAGAUGUGAAGGAGCUGUGGAUGAUUCUUCUGCUCUG
This is a non-coding RNA of Gasterosteus aculeatus aculeatus (three-spined stickleback), 229 nucleotides long. NCBI's taxonomy places the organism in Eukaryota, Metazoa, Chordata, Actinopteri, Perciformes, Gasterosteidae. The record is from RefSeq and is a predicted model, not a curated record.